GUGCCAGCCGCCGCGGUAAUACGGAGGGUGCAAGCGUUGUCCGGAUUUAUUGGGUUUAAAGGGUGCGUAGGCGGCCUUUUAAGUCAGCGGUGAAAGCCCGGGGCUCAACCCCGGAACUGCCGUUGAUACUGGAAGGCUUGAGUACAGACGAGGUAGGCGGAAUUGAAGAUGUAGCGGUGAAAUGCUUAGAUAUCUUCAAGAACACCGAUUGCGUAGGCAGCUUACUAGGCUGUAACUGACGCUGAGGCACGAAAGCGUGGGGAGCGAACAGGAUUAGAAACCCGAGUAGUCC
Molecule: ribosomal RNA, 292 nt
Filed under: uncultured bacterium
Lineage: Bacteria
Description: partial 16S ribosomal RNA
Rfam family: Bacterial small subunit ribosomal RNA
Source: RNAcentral